GCGUGGUGUAGCUCAGUUGGUUAGAGCAUGUCGCUAUUAACCACAAGGUCGAAGGUUCAAUUCCUUCCAAUGGCA
This is a non-coding RNA of Lycium barbarum (goji berry), 75 nucleotides long. The record is from the annotation of a RefSeq genome assembly. NCBI's taxonomy places the organism in Eukaryota, Viridiplantae, Streptophyta, Magnoliopsida, Solanales, Solanaceae.